Molecule: long non-coding RNA, 2641 nt
Organism: Pyrus x bretschneideri (Chinese white pear)
Lineage: Eukaryota; Viridiplantae; Streptophyta; Magnoliopsida; Rosales; Rosaceae
Exons: 4
Source: RefSeq, a predicted model, not a curated record
UGAAGGAUGGAACCGAAGACCCGGUUGAGGUCUUUUCGUUGAGAGCUUGCUCUUGGAAAAGGAUUGAAGCCCCUUCCACAUUACCCAUGGUGUCGAGGGGAGCUCUUCGGGUGCAGGGAUGCAGACAAUCUUGACGAGGAUGUGGUUUUUAGCGGGCAAUAUACGCUCUUUGGGAUUAACUCGAGUGUGAAUGUGACUGAAUAUGUUGAGAGUCUGCGUCUGCUCGUCCAACAUUUCGGAUGAACCACCGCCUCAGGUUCCUGUGAAAGCCGCUCGCACUAAAUUCACUCUAUGGAAAUCACUAUUUCGUUCGGUCCUCAAGAAAUUAAAGAGUACAAGGGUUGAUAGACAGAACUGCGAUCUUUCCACCUGUUUUCCUGUUUGUUAACAACGACCUAUAUCUCACACUUUGGAUGAUCAUGGAGAAAGGUUUUGUCUAUGUUUCUCGUUUUCAUUUCGAUUGAGCACAAACUGAUCCUGCCUCUGUGGAUGAAAGACACGGCCACUUAACCGGAUGUCUUUCUCGAAUUCUUAACAAUGAAGAAGUAUCACAUGAGAAUUCAUACGAGGAAGUGCAUCCAGCAUACCAACGGCUGGGAGUAGGGUACGUAGUGUAGGAUCAAUGACAUGGCAGGUUGAUAGUUUUGUAAUUUAGUUUUACAACUGAGUCUGUUGUGCAGUCAGGAUUUAUACGUCUACGAUUUAGUACAAUUUAAUGUUGUUGAUAAUGUGCGGUUACUGCAGUAUUUACCGAAUUCUCUUUGUUAUGCAACAAAUGUACUUCGGUUAAAUUGACCCAAAACAGUACGUUUUUAUACGAUUUAUUUAAAGCUUUUGAUAAUGUGGGUUUCUGAAGACUAGGAGUUGGUUACCUAAGGAAUCGAUGAACAAUGAGGACGGUAUGAAUCCAUUUUGAUUACAAUGCAAAAUUAUUUAGCCUCUUCAGACAUAGAAAGCGAUAACUAUCUUGUUUGGUACGUAGGAUUAAGUUUGCGCUUCGGUGAUUCUUAAGGGUUUGGGCAUCUUCUGUUAUGGUGCAGUAGCUAUCGGAAUUGUUGCAGUUGACACGAAUGUCUAAUCUGAGCGCCCGUUUGAUAAUUUGUAUCAGCAAACCAUUAGCUCUGGUUUUUGUUCGUGACUUGAAGGCCAGUGAAGGCAAGUUGACUAGUGACAAGAAGUCUUAGGGGGACCAUGGACACUUGAGGCCUGUACAUAAGUACAUUGCUCCGCCCCUGCAAUCAGAGCGAAAUCUGUAAAAUCUUGUUCAGCUUCUCGGGGUUGCAGAGUUUGAGAAAGGUAUUGAGUCCGCAUUGAUUUCAAGUUUAUGAGGUUCAAACAAGCCUGGAAAUUUAUGGUACGGCGUGUUUCUUUUCUUAAUCUGGCUCGUAUCACGUUAACCUGUUUCCAACUCAGUCUGUUUAAGAUAUGUAGGCGGUAAGGUGGCAGCAGGUAGAGGUCGGUACCUGACAGAGGAUGGUGCAUUCCUUGAAAAAGGUCCGACCAAUUUCGAUAUUCAUUUUCUUAAGGAAAUGCGAAAUAUAAGGUAAUGCAGACGCCAUUUCUUAUGAGAAAAAAAUCUGAUGCAAAGGUGUGCUCAAUUAGCACAAUUCGACGAGGAAGUUUACAAGGUAAUGUUGGUAGCUAUUGCUGAUUUUUCGCUAUGCAGCCACUAGUUUGUGUUCAUUUACUAGACGGGAUUUGUUUUUGUAUCAGUUUUCUGCGUUUUGUCUCCUAAUGUCAGCAACUGACAUAAGAUCAAUUGGUAUCGAACAGGUAAGCACUGAAGGAGACACAAGUAUCUCGUUGCUACACCUGAACAGCCUCUUUCUGCAUAUCACGGAGUGGAUUGGAUCCAUCCGUCUCAACUACCGAUAAGAUAUGAUGGAGACUCGUUCUGUUUCCUCAAGGAAGCUGGCGCACAUGGGCGACACUUGGGUAUUUUUCGUGUCCAUCAGUUUGUGCAAGUUGAACAAUUCUGUAUCACCAGCCCGAAUGAUGACGACUCGUGGAACAUGCACGAGGAAAUGAUCAAAAGCUCCGAGGACUUCUGUAUGAGUGUCGUAACCGUUGCAUUUCUUGAAAGAUCAUUGUGGUUGGAAAUAUAUGAUUAGUGACCAAGUGACUUUUUCUAAGCUUGUUUAAUCCGAAUUUUGUGACGUUCAGCUAAGGAUCCCCUACCAAGCCAUGUCCAUAGUUUCGAAUGCUCUGAAUGGCUUCCGACAUCUUAGACAUACAGAGAGCUGGUGUCAUGUUCAAACCGCAGAGACUACCUGAAGAUCAGAAAUUCGAUACGGGCGCCAAAAUGAACAACAAAGAAACAAAGCAAUACGUUCACUUGUUGAACUCAACUCUUACAGCAGCCGAGAGAACUGUUUGCUGCAUUCUCCAGAACUACCAGAGGGAAGAUGGUGUGGGGAUACCAGAAGUUUUUACAGCCGUACAUGCAUGGAAACACAUUCCUCCCUUUCAAGAACAAACUUCCCCUCAAUCUCAAGCCAAAGGGAAGGGAAUCGAGAAAUCGAAAAGGGCCUAAAGUCGCCGGUUUGUGUAGACUUUCCUUGGUGAAAGGUGGGUUCUUGCAUACAGAGUGAUAAUAAUUUAUAGUGAAACUUUUAAGAAAUUUCGAAAUUCAAAUUCCUCC